GGGAGACUGGGUAGGUUGGGUUGAAUGAUUUGAUCAUUUAGUCACUUAAAUAAUCUAACCUUAUCCGUCCGAUAG
This 75-nucleotide microRNA precursor is filed under the name Mus caroli (Ryukyu mouse). RNAcentral describes it as "microRNA 6905 (MGP_CAROLIEiJ_G0007009.1)". The record is from RNAcentral. Lineage: Eukaryota; Metazoa; Chordata; Mammalia; Rodentia; Muridae.